Molecule: small nucleolar RNA, 200 nt
Filed under: Castor canadensis (American beaver)
Lineage: Eukaryota; Metazoa; Chordata; Mammalia; Rodentia; Castoridae
Description: Small nucleolar RNA SNORA73 family (ENSCCNG00000006772.1)
Rfam family: Small nucleolar RNA SNORA73 family
About the family: U17 (SNORA73A and SNORA73B) also known as E1 belongs to the H/ACA class of small nucleolar RNAs (snoRNAs). Vertebrate U17 is intron-encoded and ranges in length from 200-230 nucleotides, longer than most snoRNAs.
Source: Rfam by way of RNAcentral
CCAAAUGGAUACUCUGGAGGUCACUCUCCCAGGCUCUGUCCAAGUUGUAUCCAGAUGAUAGGACUCUGCUUCAUGAGGUACAGUCCCUUUCCACAAUGUUGGAAAAGAGGCUGGGCCUUACAUCUGGGCCUGCAUAGUCCCAUGACUUCUCAGAGUCCUGUGGGCAAUAACUGAGGAGACAAACCAUGCAGGAAACAAUG